GAUGAACGCUAGCGGGAGGCUUAACACAUGCAAGUCGAGGGGCAGCAUAGGGUAGCAAUACUCUGAUGGCGACCGGCAAACGGGUGAGUAACGCGUAUGUAACCUACCCUGUACAGGGGGAUAACCCGGAGAAAUUCGGACUAAUAUCCCAUAACAAUAUCCGGGGGCAUCUUUGGAUAUUUAAAGUUCCGGCGGUACGGGAUGGGCAUGCGUAACAUUAGCUAGUUGGUAAGGUAACGGCUUACCAAGGCUUUGAUGUUUAGGGGUCCUGAGAGGGUGGUCCCCCACACUGGUACUGAGACACGGACCAGACUCCUACGGGAGGCAGCAGUGAGGAAUAUUGGUCAAUGGGCGCAAGCCUGAACCAGCCAUCCCGCGUGCAGGAAGACGGCGCUAUGCGUUGUAAACUGCUUUUGUACGGGAAGAAAAACGCCACGUGUGGUGUCUUGCCGGUACCGUACGAAUAAGGAUCGGCUAACUCCGUG
Molecule: ribosomal RNA, 485 nt
Filed under: uncultured bacterium
Lineage: Bacteria
Description: bacterial SSU rRNA
Rfam family: Bacterial small subunit ribosomal RNA
Source: RNAcentral